Molecule: ribosomal RNA, 429 nt
Filed under: Actinomycetes bacterium
Lineage: Bacteria; Bacillati; Actinomycetota; Actinomycetes
Description: Actinobacteria bacterium partial 16S ribosomal RNA
Rfam family: Bacterial small subunit ribosomal RNA
Source: RNAcentral
UAGGGAAUCUUCCGCAAUGGGCGAAAGCCUGACGGAGCAACGCCGCGUGAGUGAUGAAGGUCUUCGGAUCGUAAAACUCUGUUAUUAGGGAAGAACAAAUGUGUAAGUAACUAUGCACGUCUUGACGGUACCUAAUCAGAAAGCCACGGCUAACUACGUGCCAGCAGCCGCGGUAAUACGUAGUUUGCAAGCGUUAUCCGGAAUUAUUGGGCGUAAAGCGCGCGUAGGCGGUUUUUUAAGUCUGACGUGAAAGCACACGGCUCAACCGUGGAGGGUCAUUGGAAACUGGAAAACUUGAGUGCAGUAGAGGAAAGUGGAAUUCCAUGUGUAGCGGUGAAAUGCGCAGAGAUAUGGAGGAACACCAGUGGCGAAGGCGACUUUCUGGUCUGUAACUGACGCUGAUGUGCGAAAGCGUGGGGAUCAAACAGG